GUAAUGCUUAGGAAUCUGCCUAUUAGUGGGGGACAACAUCUCGAAAGGGAUGCUAAUACCGCAUACGUCCUACGGGAGAAAGCAGGGGACCUUCGGGCCUUGCGCUAAUAGAUGAGCCUAAGUCGGAUUAGCUAGUUGGUGGGGUAAAGGCCUACCAAGGCGACGAUCUGUAGCGGGUCUGAGAGGAUGAUCCGCCACACUGGGACUGAGACACGGCCCAGACUCCUACGGGAGGCAGCAGUGGGGAAUAUUGGACAAUGGGGGGAACCCUGAUCCAGCCAUGCCGCGUGUGUGAAGAAGGCCUUUUGGUUGUAAAGCACUUUAAGCGAGGAGGAGGCUACCGAGAUUAAUACUCUUAGAUAGUGGACGUUACUCGCAGAAUAAGCACCGGCUAACUCUGUGCCAGCAGCCGCGGUAAUACAGAGGGUGCAAGCGUUAAUCGGAUUUACUGGGCGUAAAGCGCGCGUAGGUGGCCAAUUAAGUCAAAUGUGAAAUCCCCGAGCUUAACUUGGGAAUUGCAUUCGAUACUGGUUGGCUAGAGUAUGGGAGAGGAUGGUAGAAUUCCAGGUGUAGCGGUGAAAUGCGUAGAGAUCUGGAGGAAUACCGAUGGCGAAGGCAGCCAUCUGGCCUAAUACUGACACUGAGGUG
Molecule: ribosomal RNA, 648 nt
Filed under: uncultured bacterium
Lineage: Bacteria
Description: bacterial SSU rRNA
Rfam family: Bacterial small subunit ribosomal RNA
Source: RNAcentral